This 1100-nucleotide ribosomal RNA is filed under the name Polystrata fosliei. RNAcentral describes it as "LSU rRNA". It matches the Rfam family "Eukaryotic large subunit ribosomal RNA", at positions 1258 to 2176 of the family's 3401-position model. Lineage: Eukaryota; Rhodophyta; Florideophyceae; Peyssonneliales; Peyssonneliaceae. The record is from RNAcentral.
AAGUCNGAAUCCGCUAAGGAGUGUGUAACAACUCACCUNCCGAAUGAAUUAGCCCUGAAAAUGGAUGGCGCUGAAGCGGGCCGCCGACACCACGCCGUCUGGCCAAUUUGACAAAACAUGUGCUGGAUGAGUAGGAGGGCGUGGCGGUCGUGCGGAAGCCCGCGUGCAGACGCGGGUGGAACGGCCGCUAGUGCAGAUCUUGGUGGUAGUAGCAAGUAUUCAAGCGAGAUCCUUGAAGGGCGAAGCGGGGAAGGGUUCCACGCGAACAUUGAUUGGGCGUGGGUGAGUCGUUCCUAAGCCGAGUGGCAAUUGCUAACUACCGGCGAAAGGGAAGCGGGUUGAAAUUCCCGCACACGGAUGUGGACGCGGUGACGCGUACUUGGGGCGAAUACGCCGGCGACGGCGCUGGGCAGAGUUGUCUUUUCUGUUUGACCCAGUUUUUAUUUACGCGCUGUGUGGAAUCCGCUUGUCGGGAGAAACACGCGCGUCGGGGCAGAGCGCCGGGGCUUUUCCGGCGUCCAGCUCGCCGUCGACGGCCCUUGAAACUUUGCCUGCUGGUAGUAGCACCUUGUCAAAGGGUGUGAAAAUAACUCCACGCCGUGGCGUACCGAUCACCGCAUCAGGUCCCCAAGGUGAACAGCCUCUGCUCUAUAUGAACAAUGCAGGUAAGGGAAGUCGGCAAAUUGGACCCGUAACUUUGGAAUAAGGGUUGGCUCUAGUGCUGCGUGGGAGUGGUUGCUGAGUGUCUCGGCGCCGUGCGUGGGGCUGGCUUGGGCGCGGGGCCUGCCCUGUCCGAGUGCUCUUUUUCUGUGUCUUGGUUGUUCGUCUUGUGCCGGUCGUAUUGGUGUUUGGGGCCGUGCGUGACGCGAGUAUUCGUUUAACGGGUUUUCGUCGAUCAGCAUNCUCUUCCCACUGCUCCCGUCCCUGCGCCCAACCAAGCCAGAACUGCGGGCGCGGACUCUGGGCGGGACCUGUUCCUGCCGCGCCUCCAUCGCGGUUCCGCAUUCGGCGACGCCCACAGCAUGCAGCAGACUAGAACUGCAACGGGCAAANNGAAUCCGACUGNNNAANNAAAACAANNCNUUGCAGGGGCCGUGGCC